This 293-nucleotide ribosomal RNA is filed under the name uncultured bacterium. Its description in RNAcentral is "partial 16S ribosomal RNA". The record is from RNAcentral. RNAcentral also lists the same sequence under 1 other name.
GGACUACCCGGGUAUCUAAUCCUGUUUGAUCCCCACGCUUUCGUGCCUCAGCGUCAGGAAAGCCCCAGCCGGUUGUCUUCACCCUUGGCAUUCCGAUCGAUCUCUACGCAUUCCACCGCUCCACCGAUCGUUCUACCGGCCUCUAGCUUCCUCUAAGACGUGCAGUAUGCCCUGCGGUUCCUGGGUUGAGCCCAGGGCUUUCACAAAGCACUUACACGCCCGCCUACGCACCCUUUAAGCCCAGUAAUUCCGACUAACGCUCGGGGCCUCUGUCUUACCGCGGCUGCUGGCAC